CUUUCCCGCGCGACCGGCGAGGGAGGAAGAAGCGCGAAGAGCCGUUAAUCAUGCCGGUGUGGUGGCGGCGGCGGAGCCUGCGGGCCGGUAGCUGGGCUCUGCAAGCAUAUAGGUUGCUGUAGAUGAAUGUUCUUAGCUGUCAUGUUUAAAAAUACUUCUUCGUUACCUCAAGUGUGGCAUGCAGCAUUUUGGAAGGAAAAUUGAAGACUUGUUCAAGAAAACAUGAACAGAAGCAAAUGAUGAAAAUGAGCAUUUUACUUGAUGUUGAUAACAUCACAAUAAAUUAUGGAGAAAAAUAC
Molecule: long non-coding RNA, 299 nt
Filed under: Pongo abelii (Sumatran orangutan)
Lineage: Eukaryota; Metazoa; Chordata; Mammalia; Primates; Hominidae
Description: lincRNA
Source: RNAcentral